RNAcentral lists this unclassified non-coding RNA (164 nucleotides) under uncultured Ostropales. RNAcentral describes it as "sequence contains ITS1". The record is from RNAcentral. Lineage: Eukaryota; Fungi; Ascomycota; Lecanoromycetes.
AAGAGUUGAAACUCCUUCGGGAGCCAUCUCCACCCUGUGCGAACACACUUUGUUGCUUUGGCGGGCCGCGGCCCCGCUGCCGCCGGCUUUUAGCUGGCGAGCGCCCGCCGGAGACCUUUAAAAUUCUGAUUUACCUGACGUCUGAAUGAAAAAACAAAUAUAAA